UGGGGGAUAUUGCACAAUGGGGGAAACCCUGAUGCAGCGACCCCGCGUGGAGGAAGAAGGUUUUCGGAUUGUAAACUCCUGUCGUUAGGGACGAUAAUGACGGUACCUAACAAGAAAGCACCGGCUAACUACGUGCCAGCAGCCGCGGUAAAACGUAGGGUGCAAGCGUUGUCCGGAAUUACUGGGUGUAAAGGGAGCGCAGGCGGACCGGCAAGUUGGAAGUGAAAACUAUGGGCUCAACCCAUAAAUUGCUUUCAAAACUGCUGGCCUUGAGUAGUGCAGAGGUAGGUGGAAUUCCCGGUGUAGCGGUGGAAUGCGUAGAUAUCGGGAGGAACACCAGUGGCGAAGGCGACCUACUGGGCACCAACUGACGCUGAGGCUCGAAAGCAUGGGUAGCAAACAGGAUUAGAUACCCUGGUAGUCCAUGCCGUAAACGAUGAUUACUAGGUGUUGGAGGAUUGACCCCUUCAGUGCCGCAGUUAACACAAUAAGUAAUCCACCUGGGGAGUACGACCGCAAGGUUGAAACUCAAAGGAAUUGACGGGGGCCCGCACAAGCAGUGGAGUAUGUGGUUUAAUUCGAAGCAACGCGAAGAACCUUACCAGGUCUUGACAUCCGAUGCAUAGUGCAGAGAUGCAUGAAGUCCUUCGGGACAUCGAGACAGGUGGUGCAUGGUUGUCGUCAGCUCGUGUCGUGAGAUGUUGGGUUAAGUCCCGCAACGAGCGCAACCCUUAUUGCCAGUUACUACGUAAGAGGACUCUGGCGAGACUGCCGUUGACAAAACGGAGGAAGGUGGGGAUGACGUCAAAUCAUCAUGCCCUUUAUGACCUGGGCUACACACGUACUACAAUGGCGUUUAACAAAGAGAAGCAAGACCGCGAGGUGGAGCAAAACUCAAAAACAACGUCUCAGUUCAGAUUGCAGGCUGCAACUCGCCUGCAUGAAGUCGGAAUUGCUAGUAAUCGCGGAUCAGCAUGCCGCGGUGAAUACGUUCCC
This 996-nucleotide ribosomal RNA is filed under the name uncultured bacterium. RNAcentral's name for it is "bacterial SSU rRNA". It matches the Rfam family "Bacterial small subunit ribosomal RNA", at positions 355 to 1375 of the family's 1533-position model. The record is from RNAcentral.